Molecule: ribosomal RNA, 578 nt
Filed under: uncultured bacterium
Lineage: Bacteria
Description: partial 16S ribosomal RNA
Rfam family: Bacterial small subunit ribosomal RNA
Source: RNAcentral
UGGGGGAAUUUUGGACAAUGGGCGAAAGCCUGAUCCAGCAAUGCCGCGUGUGUGAAGAAGGCCUUCGGGUUGUAAAGCACUUUUGUCCGGAAAGAAAUGGCUCUGGUUAAUACCUGGGGUCGAUGACGGUACCGGAAGAAUAAGGACCGGCUAACUACGUGCCAGCAGCCGCGGUAAUACGUAGGGUCCAAGCGUUAAUCGGAAUUACUGGGCGUAAAGCGUGCGCAGGCGGUUGUGCAAGACCGAUGUGAAAUCCCCGAGCUUAACUUGGGAAUUGCAUUGGUGACUGCACGGCUAGAGUGUGUCAGAGGGGGGUAGAAUUCCACGUGUAGCAGUGAAAUGCGUAGAGAUGUGGAGGGAAUACCGAUGGCGAAGGCAGCCCCCUGGGGAUAACACUGACGCUCAUGCACGAAAGCGUGGGGAGCAAACAGGAUUAGAUACCCCUGGUAGUCCACGCCCUAAACGAUGUCAACUAGUUGUUGGGGAUUCAUUUCCUUAGUAACGUAGCUAACGCGUGAAGUUGACCGCCUGGGGAGUACGGUCGCAAGAUUAAAAGCUCAAAUGAUUUGACGGGGGCU